GAAGAAGUUCGUCCUGCAGGUGCUGCUGGACAAGUGCGCGGGGGUGGUGCCGAGCAAGGACCUGGUGCCGGUGCUGAAGAACUUCAAGAUCGAGGUGACGCCGGGACGCAUCCGGGUGGCGGCGACGGACAUGGAGCUGUCGGUGAUCGCGGAGUCCGAGUUCGUGAUGGUGGGGCAGAGCGGGACUGCUGUGUUCGACGCGCAGUGGCUGAUGUCCA
Molecule: unclassified non-coding RNA, 218 nt
Filed under: plant metagenome
Description: partial contains 5.8S ribosomal RNA, internal transcribed spacer 2, and large subunit ribosomal RNA
Source: RNAcentral